Molecule: long non-coding RNA, 465 nt
Organism: Poecile atricapillus (Black-capped chickadee)
Lineage: Eukaryota; Metazoa; Chordata; Aves; Passeriformes; Paridae
Exons: 3
Source: RefSeq, a predicted model, not a curated record
CUUGAGGGUGCAGUGGGGGGGAGGAGGAAAAUGUGGCAAAAUCUCUGCAGGGGAGAAAAUGCUGCAAGAAAAUUCAUCAAGGAAUUGCAGUGGUGAGGCACAGCCUGGACCUGAUCCUGCCAUUUUUUUUCACGAGGAUCAAAAGGCCACUGAGAUUACCAAGCUUUCAACCUUCAGCUCCCCCAGGACUUGGAGGCUGAGGGGGUCCUGUAUUGCUUUGGCCAAGCAAUGAAAGUUUAUAGAGGCUUCUCAGUAGGAUGGGUGGAAGAAACACAGAGAGCAGGAAGCAACUGCUGAAACUGCCAGUGAUUAAAAUGCAAUAAAAUGUUUGCCUUCUGCUGCUGAGCAAGAAGUGUGGCAUGUGUUUUGCUGAGGCAGCAGAAGUGGUUGUGCUCACUGAAUGAGCAGCUAAUGAAAAGCAUUUCAAGCAGGAAGCAACGCUGAUGAAGAUUAUGAGCCUGCUUA